GCUUGCAGGAGGCCGAGACCUCGGAGUGACUAGCUUCAGAGCCCAGAGUCACCGAAGAGGCUCCCCGGAGCAGCGCUGAUGAAUUCUUCUUACACAAAGACCAGAGAUUCGGCCCCAGCUCCACCCAAGCCUAUCAAUCCUGAGAUUCCAGGCUGGAGGAUUUCAAUAUAACUUGCCAGGUUGGGAGGCACUGGAGCACUCCAAGAGGGACGGGGUGAAAAAGCGUGAGCACCAGAGGAAAGAACUGGCAACCAGCCUCUGGCAGUCCCAGGAGCCUAGCAGGUCAGCACCAAUCGUGUCUUCCUCCCUCUACCCGAGAUGAUCUCCACACAGCCAAGGGGGAAGAGACAAAGACAAAUAAAGGACUUUGGACCUGCUGUUUACUUUCAAGGUGUUGCAUUUGGUAGCCUGUCAAAAGAUAAUUUCCUAGGAGGCUUGA
Canis lupus familiaris (dog) is the source of this 439-nucleotide long non-coding RNA. RefSeq lists it as uncharacterized. The transcript is spliced from 3 exons. Lineage: Eukaryota; Metazoa; Chordata; Mammalia; Carnivora; Canidae. The record is from RefSeq and is a predicted model, not a curated record.